This 1187-nucleotide long non-coding RNA is filed under the name Olea europaea subsp. europaea. Lineage: Eukaryota; Viridiplantae; Streptophyta; Magnoliopsida; Lamiales; Oleaceae. The record is from RNAcentral.
GAAAGCCUCAAUUUGUAGAAUGCAAGCCACCAAAUUGGACCCCCAGAUUCUCUUUAAACCCAAAAUUUCAAAUCAAUUUUACCACACAAUUGGACCACGAAGCUUGAUUUUUGCAGUAUUUCAUAGGGAAGUGAGUCUUCCAGAGCAAGAUCAGCAAGAGCAAAUGCUAGGGGGCAGAGGGUGUUUUGUAGUGUGGAUUUUUUCUGCUUGUGUUGUUGCAGCAAGAGCAGAUGUAGUUUUUUGAAGGCAGCAACUGGAUUAUUGCUAGUUUUUUUUAUGUACAGAUUAUAAUUGCAAAAAAAGAAAAUUGUUGCUUGUUUUAUUUUGAGGCCCCAUUUGUAUCCUAUUUUUCCUGCCGUGUUAGUAAUUUUUUUACCGUUACCCAACCCACCUUCUUACAUCCCAUUAGUCUUCUACUGUACCAUAGUACACAUCUAUUUUUCCUUUUUCUCAUUUUGCCCUUCCCCUCAAACGAAGAAAAAAUCUUCUACCAAUGGGGAAGACGAAACUGUAGAAUGGGUGACGACGAUUUAAAGCAUCCAGUGAAAUUGUUUGGCCCAAUUCGAUAUAAGGUCGUUGAGCACUAUAGCUGCAAAAUAUCCUCCUCCUGCAUCGGUGUCGCUGCUGCCUUCCCUUCGCAUCGUUAUCAGAACGAAUGGAACCGAUCGACAAACAGGUAUUUCGAUAGCCUAUACUUUCUUCUGGUAAAUGCUAUUUGUUGAUGUCCAAUCUUGAUGUGCAUAGAUGGGCUACAUUUCGCACGGUAACUCGUCCACUCUACCUGAACUCACACGUGCCUUAAGCUCGAAAACAUAUGCGCGGUUAAACCAAAUGGAGUGUAAAACAUUCAUUGCAGCUUGUGAAACUGCCAUUGUCAAGGGUCAUCGAAAUGGUCGGUGUUUUACGAAACACAGCUGGAAGCGUGUGAGUGAGCUAUUCAACUCUAUCUCUAGCCACAACUGGAGCAAGUAACAACUGUGCAACUACAGGGACGCAAUGCGUCAAACCUACAAACAUCUUUACGAGCUGUUGACUUGCAGUGGGGUUAAAUAAAACCUAUCCACUUGUCGAAUUGUAGCAUCGGAGGAAUGGUGUACUCGAAAGAUCAUGGUAACCUAUUUUCUUGUCGGAAUGCCUCUGUAUGGAUAAUUGUACAUUGGCGCGCCAUUCGGCACGCUACGGUCUUG